Long non-coding RNA from Esox lucius (northern pike), 1960 nucleotides. The record is from Ensembl. NCBI's taxonomy places the organism in Eukaryota, Metazoa, Chordata, Actinopteri, Esociformes, Esocidae.
CAAAUGGGCAUCUCUUGCGGAUGAAAGUAAAGCAGCAAUUGGCUGAAGAGAGGAGGCCCUCCUUUUUAUAACUAGGGAUGGACAUAGCUGGUCAAAUUAAUAAUUAGGUAAAUACCUAACAGGAAUGUGGCCAGGAAAGAUUCAGUAACAAAAUCAUAUUUAGUUUUUCACAAACACAGAUAAAUAUCAAACAAUGUAUAUUUAUUUGCUGAAAAAUUCGGACUGGCAUGUAAGAAGUUGUCUGAGACCGGCACUCCAGAACAGUAGAUGGCGGUAAUGAACAUAAUGAAGUUAGAGGCCACCCCCCGUAGCAGAGGAAGUACUACCGCCACAACCAAACAUCUCUUGGCGUAACAAACCUACUGUAUAUAUUAUCAUGGAUUUAGCUUUUUCUCUUUGACUCCUGCAUUAUGAUUUUUUUUUUUACUGUAAAUAUGAUCUAGCAAGCUAAAUACUAUGGUACGACGGCUGAGCACGCUCGUCCCUUUGAUUUGACUCAGUCAUUGUUCGUUUAAUUUCCAAAGAAAUAGAGGCCGAGGGAUUUGCACUACCAACCCAGACACCACAAAUUCCCUUUUUGGACACAUGACUGCUGUUGACUAGGUGGCGGAAGUUUUUUUCAUUCUGAGUGAGACUUUUUGCUGACCUGCUUCUCUGAAACGUGAGUAGCGUGACCCCAAAGGAUCAUAAAACCAAGCAACUCCCACUGGACUCAGCGUCUGGUGAAGCACAUCCAAUUCCGUUGUGGUUCUUAUCAUGCUGCUCGCUCAACAAGGACGUCUACACUGGAAUCUCUGUGCUGGAAUGAACACACACUCCGGUCCUGUGGCUCACACACCCCAAGCUGCCACAUGGAGUCAAGGUAAAUACACCUUUGUGUCUAACUGCUGAGUGUCUGUGAAGCAGAAUGGAUUCAUCAUCCCUUUUCCAUGGUAGACUGAACUGUUUGUCUUAUACAAGUGAACCUCAACCUCAGAAGAUCCUUGAUUUGCUGUACCAUAGGGACAUGAAGUUGAUUCUGUCGCCAACUUGUGGACCUGUCCUAAGGAUCUUCAAAAACACCACUGUUGUAUUUUUGAUCACAUAGGUUUUCCUGUCAGACCGGUUGUCUUUAAUUUCCAUGCCCUGGCCUGACUGACCGGAACAUUUAUCCGAACAGAAAUCUAAUGCUUCUCACAGUGGAGAAUUCUGGACUGGUUGUGAGGUCACAGGAAAUAGACUGCAUCUUCGACACAGCUCAAUAAAUGUUUUCACAAUUUAAAUCUGAGUUUACAGUAUGAACUGUGUCACAAAUUUAUUGGUGCCAUUGAUAUUUCCUGUAGGCUAAUUUUAGUAAUUACAACAUCAAGUUAAUAAAAGGAUCAAUAGUAUGUACCUACUAUGUUUUCAUUCUCCCAGCUCGAUGGAACUUGAUGUGCUGGAGUCCUUGCUUAAGAUGUAAAAUAUCAGGUUGUUCCUUACUUGCUGCAGCCUAAUGGUCAUCUUAUUGUGAAACCUGUAACACAUUUUUAAUCUCUCAAUUUUUUUAUGGUACCAACCAGUCUCUGGACAGUCAUAAGCUCCUAACAAACCUAACGACCCUGUUAACUAAAUAUGUAUAUCUAUUUAAAAACGGUGUUGUCUAUCUGGCCAAAACAAUUUGAUCUCUGAUACAUUCUGAAUAUGUAUCCGUAUUCAGUACAAUAUGUAUUGUGAAUGCACAUCAAUCAGAUUUUAGACCUCUGUUAGUCAUCGUUUUUUGGGGGGAAGCUAUAUCUGGGUUUGCUUUACCAGUUUUUCCUUGAACAAUGCCUUGAAAAAUAAAAAUGUUGAAAUGUUCCUUUUUGGUUUGGGCUUUACUUCGUUCCAAAACGAACUUGUUACUUGUGAUUAUCCCGUUUUAUGUUCACCACCCAUUUAAUGUAGUUGUAUGUCAACCUUUUGUGUAUUCUAUCCCUAUUCUAUCUAAAAUUACCAUUAC